CGGCNGCUACACAUGCAGUCGAGCGGUAGAGAGGUGCUUGCACCUCUUGAGAGCGGCGGACGGGUGAGUAAUGCCUAGGAAUCUGCCUGGUAGUGGGGGAUAACGCUCGGAAACGGACGCUAAUACCGCAUACGUCCUACGGGAGAAAGCAGGGGACCUUCGGGCCUUGCGCUAUCAGAUGAGCCUAGGUCGGAUUAGCUAGUUGGUGAGGUAAUGGCUCACCAAGGCGACGAUCCGUAACUGGUCUGAGAGGAUGAUCAGUCACACUGGAACUGAGACACGGUCCAGACUCCUACGGGAGGCAGCAGUGGGGAAUAUUGGACAAUGGGCGAAAGCCUGAUCCAGCCAUGCCGCGUGUGUGAAGAAGGUCUUCGGAUUGUAAAGCACUUUAAGUUGGGAGGAAGGGCAUUAACCUAAUACGUUAGUGUUUUGACGUUACCGACAGAAUAAGCACCGGCUAACUCUGUGCCAGCAGCCGCGGUAAUACAGAGGGUGCAAGCGUUAAUCGGAAUUACUGGGCGUAAAGCGCGCGUAGGUGGUUCGUUAAGUUGGAUGUGAAAUCCCCGGGCUCAACCUGGGAACUGCAUUCAAAAC
This 594-nucleotide ribosomal RNA is filed under the name Pseudomonas sp. EA_R_33. RNAcentral's name for it is "bacterial SSU rRNA". It matches the Rfam family "Bacterial small subunit ribosomal RNA", at positions 40 to 633 of the family's 1533-position model. The record is from RNAcentral. Lineage: Bacteria; Pseudomonadati; Pseudomonadota; Gammaproteobacteria; Pseudomonadales; Pseudomonadaceae.